Molecule: ribosomal RNA, 453 nt
Filed under: uncultured Methylobacterium sp.
Lineage: Bacteria; Pseudomonadati; Pseudomonadota; Alphaproteobacteria; Hyphomicrobiales; Methylobacteriaceae
Description: bacterial SSU rRNA
Rfam family: Bacterial small subunit ribosomal RNA
Source: RNAcentral
AGAGUUUGAUCCUGGCUCAGAGCGAACGCUGGCGGCAGGCUUAACACAUGCAAGUCGAACGGGCACUUCGGUGUCAGUGGCAGACGGGUGAGUAACACGUGGGAACGUACCCUUCGGUUCGGAAUAACUCAGGGAAACUUGAGCUAAUACCGGAUACGCCCUUUUGGGAAAGGUUUACUGCCGAAGGAUCGGCCCGCGUCUGAUUAGCUAGUUGGUGGGGUAACGGGCCUACCAAGGCGACGAUCAGUAGCUGGUCUGAGAGGAUGAUCAGCCACACUGGGACUGAGACACGGCCCAGACUCCUACGGGAGGCAGCAGUGGGGAAUAUUGGACAAUGGGCGCAAGCCUGAUCCAGCCAUGCCGCGUGUGUGAUGAAGGCCUUAGGGUUGUAAAGCACUUUUGUCCGGGACGAUAAUGACGGUACCGGAAGAAUAAGCCCCGGCUAACUUCGUG